CUCCCCCACACCUCUCCGGGAAGGUUUUAGGGCUGAGGGGAGGCUGCAAGACUUUUUCAGCAAGAGCUGGUGGAGUCUUCUCUGGCCUCUUCCAACCUCUGCAAGAUCCCACCAAGCACACACACAGAUUGCCCCUUGAUCAUCACAAAGCUCAUGGCUGUUCCCAGAUGGGAAAACUGAGGCCCAGAGAGAGUCAGUGACUUGCCCGGAGACACACAGCUGACUUUCCACUUUCAGCUCUAAACAGGAGUAUGUCAUCCAAGCCAGGAAGGGUCAGACCCAGUGACUACUUCAGAGACAGACACAUGACCCAAGUUAGUCCAAUGGGCGUUGGCCCUCGGACUUUCGCUGGCGCCAUUAAGAAAGCCUCCCUUGCCGGGCGCGGUGGCUCACGCCUGCAAUCCCAGCACUUUGGGAGGCCGAGGCGAGCAGAUCACGAGGUCAAGAGCUCAAGAUCAUCCUGGCCAACAUGGUGAAACCCUGUCUCUACUAAAAAUACAAAAAUUAGCUGGGCGUGGUGUCGCAUGCCUGUAGUCCCAGCUACUCAGGAGGCUGAGGCAGGAGAAACGCUUGAAUCCGGGAGGCGGAGGUUGCAGUGAGCUGAGAUCACACCACUGCACUCCAGCCGGGGCCACAGGGCGAG
Gorilla gorilla gorilla (western lowland gorilla) is the source of this 643-nucleotide long non-coding RNA. RefSeq lists it as uncharacterized. The record is from RefSeq and is a predicted model, not a curated record. NCBI's taxonomy places the organism in Eukaryota, Metazoa, Chordata, Mammalia, Primates, Hominidae. The transcript is spliced from 3 exons.